UUUAAAAUAGUAUAUUGAAAGUACAGUUACCUUCCAAGUAAAGAGACCAAACAAGGUUUUGAAGUA
RNAcentral lists this transfer RNA (66 nucleotides) under Ampullaceana balthica. RNAcentral describes it as "tRNA-Gly". The record is from RNAcentral. Lineage: Eukaryota; Metazoa; Mollusca; Gastropoda; Lymnaeidae.